This 486-nucleotide long non-coding RNA is filed under the name Mytilus galloprovincialis (Mediterranean mussel). Lineage: Eukaryota; Metazoa; Mollusca; Bivalvia; Mytilida; Mytilidae. The record is from RNAcentral.
AGUGAUUGUAUUUCCCGCGGAUACUUAUCCCGUGAUCUAUAUAACUAUUUAUUAUCAUUUUUACACAUCAUCAAUUACGUUUUACUUCCUUCUUCGGAUAUUUUUUUUGUUUAUUUAUAUCUAUACGCCAAUACAUGUACAUGGAAUGGCCAGUAAGCUCAACUGACAUUUUGUUUUGACAUCAAUAGAUGCGACAAAGCAAAAGGUAAGGUCAUAACCUUUGACAAGAUAUUGCAUUCGAAACUGCUAUUUUUCUCUUCAAACUAACAGUACGAAAUAAACAGAACACCAACAUUUUAUCUACAAUCAAAAUUUACUUUUACUUUUUAAUUGACACGAAGUAAAGGAACACGUGACUAAGAAAAGAAGCUAUAAAACAGUAAGUUGAAGAAAGAUAAACAAAACGAACAUCAAACAAGACGAAGUAUAAUCAGCGAUACAGAAAACCACCAAAAAUGUGGAUCAAUUCACAUGCUUCAGAAGGGG